AAUUUUUUGUUAAUUUGUCUAUGUGCAACAUACAUACAAAUGUAUGUAAAUAUGUAUACUCAAUACUUCAAGCGAAAUCUCCGUUGACCCGGACAACCAAUGGAAAGCGCGCGACGUCAAAGCGCCACAACAUUGUGUUGUUGGCAGAAAAUCCGAGCUGAGCCGAAAAAAUAAGUGAACGACCCAAAAAAAUCGAUUUUUUCAGUGAAAUGAAUACCAGUUGCGUAAAAAGGUUUAUUUCGCCAAAUCUUUCGUUCAAUUAUGGCGUUAUGAUAUAAACUAAAGAAAUUUUUAUUUUAUUUGAUUGCAGAUGAACCAUCACUUAUAGAUAUGUCAUCAUAAGAUGAUUAUAAGAGCCGUUAAAGGUCGACUUGAAGAAGCGUGUCUUGACCCACAUGGUUGAAAUUUCUCAAGCGAACAUCAACAUUUAAAAAUCAAAUAUGAAAAUAUGGAGACAGGAAUUCGCAUUCCUGGCGACUUUGGAUGCCCGCUAAAACCUUGGCUCCAUAUAGAAUUCUUUCCGAAAACUCUGUUGAAAGUUAUUUCAACAUAUAAUUUUCAAAAGCCAGAUCCAUUAUCAAAUGUGUAUUUUGAGUAUUAAAAGCGUUGUUUCAAUUGCUAUUAGGUGAUAAAGAACUGAUAUAAACAUUUAUUUGAAACUUUAAGAUUAUUGUACUAAAUAUAUACAUAAUAUGCGAAGAAAACUAUGAACUAUGGGGUAUAGUAUUUAUCGCAGUUCUUAAACGUUUCC
This is a long non-coding RNA of Bactrocera neohumeralis, 751 nucleotides long. RefSeq lists it as uncharacterized. NCBI's taxonomy places the organism in Eukaryota, Metazoa, Arthropoda, Insecta, Diptera, Tephritidae. The transcript has 3 exons. The record is from RefSeq and is a predicted model, not a curated record.